CUUCCUUGUGGCUAGAAGUGGGCAUGCAAUGAGUAGCAUCAACAGAAUGCACAAUUCUGGGUCAUCUUCAAAGAAGGAGCCCAGCUGACCUGGCUUUCCUUGAGCUGCAGUGCAGACACGGCACAGAGCCUGCAGGUUACCCUUCACCAUGACAAUGUAGACAACUUCCAGAUGAACGAGCGGCUGAGGAGCGCGGUGGCUGGCCCUGGACUCACCCAUAUCCGCUGA
RNAcentral lists this long non-coding RNA (228 nucleotides) under Chinchilla lanigera (long-tailed chinchilla). RNAcentral's name for it is "lncRNA (ENSCLAG00000024374.1)". Lineage: Eukaryota; Metazoa; Chordata; Mammalia; Rodentia; Chinchillidae. The record is from RNAcentral.